RNAcentral lists this ribosomal RNA (253 nucleotides) under uncultured bacterium. RNAcentral describes it as "partial 16S ribosomal RNA". It matches the Rfam family "Bacterial small subunit ribosomal RNA", at positions 524 to 776 of the family's 1533-position model. The record is from RNAcentral.
UACGUAGGGGGCAAGCGUUGUCCGGAAUCAUUGGGCGUAAAGCGCGUGUAGGCGGCUCGAUAAGUCCGCUCUGAAAGUCCAGGGCUCAACCCUGGGAUGCGGGUGGAUACUGUCGGGCUCGAGUCCGGAAGAGGCGAGUGGAAUUCCCGGUGUAGCGGUGAAAUGCGCAGAUAUCGGGAGGAACACCAAUGGCGAAGGCAGCUCGCUGGGACGUGACUGACGCUGAGACGCGAAAGCGUGGGGAGCAAACAGG